UACGGAGGGUGCAAGCGUUGUCCGGAGUUACUGGGCGUAAAGCGCGCGCAGGCGGCCCUGUGCGCUGCCGGUGAAAGCUCCCGGCUUACCUGGGAGAGGUUCGGCAGGACGGCAGGGCUGGAGGGUGGGAGAGGUCGGUGGAAUUCCCGGUGUAGUGGUGAAAUGCGUAGAGAUCGGGAGGAACACCCGUAGCGAAGGCGGCCGACUGGACCACACCUGACGCUGAGGCGCGAAGGCCAGGGGAGCGAACGGG
Molecule: ribosomal RNA, 253 nt
Filed under: uncultured bacterium
Lineage: Bacteria
Description: partial 16S ribosomal RNA
Rfam family: Bacterial small subunit ribosomal RNA
Source: RNAcentral